CCGACCUUAGAUACUUCUGAUGGAGAUGUCUGUCAUUUUGAUAGCUUAAAUCUACAUAUAUUGAGAGCGAUUGAUUUGGAUUUUGGUAAAACUACGUUGCCCAAACAAAUCAUGACCAUUGCCAACCUUAGACACUUCAGAUGGAGAUCUCUGUCAUCAUGCAAUCUCUCUAUAAUCUAUAAACCCUGGAUGUGAGUACAGUGAUUGAUAACAAAAUUGGCAGUC
Molecule: long non-coding RNA, 225 nt
Filed under: Elaeis guineensis (African oil palm)
Lineage: Eukaryota; Viridiplantae; Streptophyta; Magnoliopsida; Arecales; Arecaceae
Description: long non-coding RNA (EGUI_LNC019102)
Source: RNAcentral